RNAcentral lists this ribosomal RNA (278 nucleotides) under uncultured bacterium. Its description in RNAcentral is "partial 16S ribosomal RNA". It matches the Rfam family "Bacterial small subunit ribosomal RNA", at positions 29 to 334 of the family's 1533-position model. The record is from RNAcentral.
AACGAACGCUGGCGGCAUGCCUAACACAUGCAAGUCGAACGAGACCUUCGGGUCUAGUGGCGCACGGGUGCGUAACGCGUGGGAAUCUGCCCUUGGGUUCGGAAUAACUCGCCGAAAGGCGUGCUAAUACCGGAUGAUGUCGUAAGACCAAAGAUUUAUCGCCCAGGGAUGAGCCCGCGUAAGAUUAGGUAGUUGGUGGGGUAAAAGCCUACCAAGGCGACGAUCAGUAGCCGACCUGAGAGGGUGAUCGGCCACAUUGGAACUGAGACACGGUCCAA